This 169-nucleotide long non-coding RNA is filed under the name Monodon monoceros (narwhal). Its description in RNAcentral is "lncRNA (ENSMMNG00015001949.1)". The record is from RNAcentral. Lineage: Eukaryota; Metazoa; Chordata; Mammalia; Artiodactyla; Monodontidae.
CUCACUUGACGACACAGAUGGACAGCGCUUACUACUUGUUCCAGGAGAUCCGGCAGGGGCUCCAGGAACAUCACAAGCAGCACCAGGGAAACCAGGAGUUCCCCAGUGAGCAGCCCAACCGGGACCCCCAGCACCCAGAGGCCAAGACCCCACAGCCCUCCAGUCUCCA